UAUUGGGCGUAAAGAGCUCGUAGGCGGUUUGUCGCGUCUGCUGUGAAAGCCCGGGGCUUAACCCCGUGGUGUGCAGUGGGUACGGGCAGACUAGAGUGCAGUAGGGGAGACUGGAAUUCCUGGUGUAGCGGUGAAAUGCGCAGAUAUCAGGAGGAACACCGAUGGCGAAGGCAGGUCUCUGGGCUGUUACUGACGCUGAGGAGCGAAAGCAUGGGGAGCGAACAGGAUUAGAUACCCUGGUAGUCCAUGCCGUAAACGUUGGGCACUAGGUGUGGGGGACAUUCCACGUUUUCCGCGCCGUAGCUAACGCAUUAAGUGCCCCGCCUGGGGAGUACGGCUGCAAGGCUAAAACUCAAAGGAAUUGACGGGGGCCCGCACAAGCGGCGGAGCAUGCGGAUUAAUUCGAUGCAACGCGAAGAACCUUACCAAGGCUUGACAUACACCAGACCGGCCCAGAGAUGGGUUUUCCUCUUUGAGGUUGGUGUACAGGUGGUGCAUGGUUGUCGUCAGCUCGUGUCGUGAGAUGUUGGGUUAAGUCCCGCAACGAGCGCAACCCUCGUUCUAUGUUGCCAGCACGUGAUGGUGGGGACUCAUAGGAGACUGCCGGGGUCAACUCGGAGGAAGGUGGGGAUGACGUCAAAUCAUCAUGCCCCUUAUGUCUUGGGCUUCACGCAUGCUACAAUGGCCGGUACAAUGGGUUGCGAUACCGUGAGGUGGAGCUAAUCCCAAAAAGCUGGUCUCAGUUCGGAUCGUGGUCUGCAACUCGACCACGUGAAGUCGGAGUCGCUAGUAAUCGC
This 797-nucleotide ribosomal RNA is filed under the name uncultured bacterium. RNAcentral's name for it is "bacterial SSU rRNA". It matches the Rfam family "Bacterial small subunit ribosomal RNA", at positions 552 to 1345 of the family's 1533-position model. The record is from RNAcentral.